CUGUCUGUCCGUCUGUCCGUCCGUCCGUCCGUCCGUCUUGUUUGUCGGUUAGUUCUCAAAAACUAUAAGAGAUAGAGCCACCAAAUGUUGGCUCCGGACUGCUGUAUGCUCACACUGAAACCAGUGUAUUUCAAAAAUUAGCCCCGCCCCCUUCCGCCUCCGCAAAAGGGCAAAAACCUCCCAAACCUACAGUACAUAUCUAUCAGAUCACCAAAUUGUUAUCCGAUCGGAUCAUUAUUAUAGCAACAAUGGAGAAAUUAAUAUCCAGUGGCUAAACCCACCCUGUCCCGCAGCUUUUGUUGUUCUUUUUACAUUCUCUCAUUCACACUCGGCUUCUGCCUCACUCGGCCCCUGCCUCUGCCCUCCCCCUGCCUGUAUAAAAGUUGUGACGUUGUGCGUCUCACACGUCACUUCUCGUUUUAUAUUUUUUUUUUUUGAAAGCUCCAGCUACACUCUGCUCUACUCCACAAGUGUU
This 475-nucleotide long non-coding RNA is filed under the name Drosophila guanche. Lineage: Eukaryota; Metazoa; Arthropoda; Insecta; Diptera; Drosophilidae. The record is from RNAcentral.